RNAcentral lists this ribosomal RNA (208 nucleotides) under uncultured bacterium. Its description in RNAcentral is "partial 16S ribosomal RNA". It matches the Rfam family "Bacterial small subunit ribosomal RNA", at positions 568 to 774 of the family's 1533-position model. The record is from RNAcentral.
CGCGUAGGCGGGAUGGCAAGUCGGUCGUGAAAUCCCUCGGCUCAACUGAGGAGCGUCGAUCGAUACUGCUGUUCUUGAGGAUUGCAGAGGGAGACUGGAAUUCCCGGUGUAGCGGUGAAAUGUGUAGAGAUCGGGAGGAACACCGGUGGCGAAGGCGGGUCUCUGGGCCGGUACUGACGCUGAGGAGCGAAAGCGUGGGGAGCAAACA